This 610-nucleotide ribosomal RNA is filed under the name uncultured bacterium. RNAcentral describes it as "bacterial SSU rRNA". It matches the Rfam family "Bacterial small subunit ribosomal RNA", at positions 338 to 950 of the family's 1533-position model. The record is from RNAcentral.
CCUACGGGAGGCAGCAGUAAGGAAUAUUGGUCAAUGGAGGCAACUCUGAACCAGCCAUGCCGCGUGCAGGAAGAAGGCCCUAUGGGUCGUAAACUGCUUUUGUACCAGAGAAAACCCGGGUACGUGUACUCGGUUGAUAGUAUGGUAAGAAUAAGCAUCGGCUAACUUCGUGCCAGCAGCCGCGGUAAGACGAAGGAUGCAAGCGUUAUCCGGAUUCAUUGGGUUUAAAGGGUGCGUAGGCGGACUGAUAAGUCAGUGGUGAAAUCUCUCGGCUUAACCGAGAAACUGCCAUUGAUACUGUUAGUCUAGAGUAUAGAUGACGUUGGCGGAAUAUGACAUGUAGUGGUGAAAUACUUAGAUAUGUCAUAGAACACCGAUUGCGAAGGCAGCUAACGAAACUAUAACUGACGCUGAGGCACGAAAGUGCGGGGAUCAAACAGGAUUAGAUACCCUGGUAGUCCGCACCGUAAACGAUGAUUACUCGUUGUUGGCAUAUGACCGUCAGCGACCAAGCGAAAGCGAUAAGAAUCCACCUGGGGAAGUACGCCGGCACGGUGAAACUUAAAGGAAUUGACCGGNGNGAGAGNGCGAGACGACGACGAGGAGGAGG